This 342-nucleotide unclassified non-coding RNA is filed under the name soil metagenome. RNAcentral's name for it is "partial contains 5.8S ribosomal RNA, internal transcribed spacer 2, and large subunit ribosomal RNA". The stretch from base 1 to 120 matches the Rfam family "5.8S ribosomal RNA", at positions 35 to 154 of the family's 154-position model. The record is from RNAcentral.
GAUGAAGAACGUAGCGAAAUGCGAUAAGUAGUGUGAAUUGCAGAAUUCAGUGAAUCAUCGAAUCUUUGAACGCACAUUGCGCCCUUUGGUAUUCCUUAGGGCAUGCCUGUUCGAGCGUCAUUUACAACUUCAAGCCCCGCUUGGUGUUGGGUGUCUGUCCCGCCGUUUUCGCGCGCGGACUCGCCUCAAAGUCAUUGGCGGCGGUCGUGCCGGCCCCCUCGCGCAGCACAUUUGCGCUUCUCGGAGGCCCGGCGGAUCCGCGCUCCAGCAAGACCUUUCACGACUUGACCUCGGAUCAGGUAGGGAUACCCGCUGAACUUAAGCAUAUCAAUAAGCGGAGGA